CGAACGAUGAAACCUAGCUUGCUAGGUGGAUUAGUGGCGCACGGGUGAGUAAUAUAUAGAUAACGUGCCUCUUAGUCUGGGAUAGCCAUUGGAAACGAUGAUUAAUACCGGAUACUCCUUCUCUUUCUAAUAAGAGUUGGGAAAGYUUUUCGCUAAGAGAUCGGUCUAUAUCCCAUCAGCUUGUUGGUAGURUAAGAGACUACCAAGGCUAUGACGGGUAGCGGGUUUGAGAGGAUGAUCCGCCACACUGGUACUGAGACACGGACCAGRCUCCUACGGGAGGCAGCAGUGAGGAAUAUUGCACAAUGGAGGAAACUCUGAUGCAGCAACGCCGCGUGGAGGAUGACGCAUUUCGGUGUGUAAACUCCUUUUAUAGGUCAAGAAAAUGACGGUAGCCUAUGAAUAAGCACCGGCUAACUCCGUGCCAGCAGCCGCGGUAAUACGGAGGGUGCAAGCGUUAUUCGGAAUCACUGGGCGUAAAGGACACGUAGGCGGGAAGCCAAGUCUGAUGUGAAAUCCUACAGCUUAACUGUAGAACUGCAUUGGAAACUGGU
This 554-nucleotide ribosomal RNA is filed under the name uncultured bacterium. RNAcentral describes it as "bacterial SSU rRNA". It matches the Rfam family "Bacterial small subunit ribosomal RNA", at positions 63 to 637 of the family's 1533-position model. The record is from RNAcentral.